This 407-nucleotide ribosomal RNA is filed under the name uncultured bacterium. RNAcentral's name for it is "bacterial SSU rRNA". It matches the Rfam family "Bacterial small subunit ribosomal RNA", at positions 355 to 776 of the family's 1533-position model. The record is from RNAcentral.
UUAGGAAUAUUGGGCAAUGGAGGGAACUCUGACCCAGCAACGCCGCGUGAAGGAAGAAGGUUUUCGGAUUGUAAACUUCUGAUCUGUGGGAAGAAGAAAGUGACGGUACCACAGGAGAAAGCCACGGCUAACUACGUGCCAGCAGCCGCGGUAAUACGUAGGUGGCGAGCGUUGUCCGGAAUAACUGGGCGUAAAGGGAGCGUAGGUGGUAGAUUAAGUUAGGUGUGAAAGCCCGGGGCUCAACUCCGGAAUUGCACUUAAAACUGGUUUACUAGAGUACAGGAGGGGUAAACGGAAUUUCUAGUGUAGCGGUGAAAUGCGUAGAUAUUAGGAAGAACACCGGAGGCGAAGGCGGUUUACUGGACUGCAACUGACACUGAGGCUCGAAAGCGUGGGGAGCAAACAGG